CCAAGAAGCACACCAUGGGGCACCAGAAAACUGGGAUCAGGGUAUUGUUGGCAUUCCAUCUCAAGUGCCUUUGUACAUAAUUUGAGGAACAUAUGCAAUGUAUCUCUCUGCAUGUGAUAUGAAAAACGUCCAAGUCUGUAAGUAACAUGGUUUAAUUGUUUCUAUAUAUGGAUUACGUUUCUUCCCUUUUUUAUAUGGACACUAAUGCACUUACCAAGAAUGGUCACUGACACCUGGUGGUGUGAAGAGAUAUUGCACAGAACAGAAUGAAAAGGUCUUUUAACCCAUGAAUUAUAUAUGGACUGAUGACAUCAGUUUGGCACCAUAAUUCAGAUGUGUGUGGGGGGGGGGGGUAUUUAAGUUGUAACACAAACACUGCACCAUAUCCUUGAGAAAGGUAUAUAUAUAUAUGUGUUGGUGUCAACAUUUGUCUUUUUUUUCUGUAAAGACAAAUUAAAAUAUUUUUUCAAAAUGGAAGUUAAUUAAUAUUGAGUGAAAAUGGACAAGUAUGUUUUUGAUAUACAAAAUAUAACUACAUAGUUAAUUUUAGAUAAUAGUCUGUCUAGUUCAACCCCUCCAAAUGCCCAAUUCCCUCUACAUGAUUAUUAUUAUUAUUAUUAUUAUUACACUAAUAAUACUAAUUUGACUGCUAAUAAUAAUAAUGCAUUACCAUUGUGAUUAUAGUGAUACUUCUAGAAUAGAGGAACCUUUAGAAUAAUCACAGAAAAUAUCCAGUAUGACAUUAUUGGAGUCAGAGUAUAUCAAGAUUUAUUUAAGGAAAGGUAUUACACUGUUGACUCACUCAAGUAUACUGAUAAGGCACACAGUCAUGUAGAAGACAUCAAGAGUUGACAGAAAUGCAGCAAUAUCACCAAUAGCUGAAUGUAAUGGGCUAUUGAGAAUUAUGUUUCAGGCACAUAGGGUGGGUUAGUAAGAACACAAAAUGUGUUAAAUUUUUUUGAGCUCUAGCAUAAAAAUGUCCUAUUUAUUCCAUUCAAUCCAUGUUGAUUUAAUCUUACACAUUUCCUUUGUUUAACCAUUCAGAUUACAUAACUUUACAGGGAUCCUGCAAGCCAAGUGGCAUACAGAACCCAUUAAGUGGGCCUUUACCUAGUAAUUGUGGCAUGCAAUAAUAUUUCCCUCAUGUGAGACAGGUAAACAUCCUUAUUCAUUAGGUUGUCAUCUUCAAGCAAGGGCAGGCAGCAGAAUAAAUAUGCAACACAAUCCUCCAAUGAGAAUCCCAGCUGAUCUGUUCAAAUCAGGACCCAUGUUCUUUGUUCCUGCAUGCGGAGUUGGAAG
Xenopus laevis (African clawed frog) is the source of this 1299-nucleotide long non-coding RNA. RefSeq lists it as uncharacterized. The transcript is spliced from 3 exons. Lineage: Eukaryota; Metazoa; Chordata; Amphibia; Anura; Pipidae. The record is from RefSeq and is a predicted model, not a curated record.